GCGGGUGUAGCUCAGUGGUAGAGCUCCAGCCUUCCAAGCUGGCUACGCGGGUUCGAUUCCCGUCACCCGCUCCA
RNAcentral lists this transfer RNA (74 nucleotides) under Alphaproteobacteria bacterium. Its description in RNAcentral is "tRNA-Gly". It matches the Rfam family "tRNA". From Rfam's summary of the family: Transfer RNA (tRNA) molecules are approximately 80 nucleotides in length. Their secondary structure includes four short double-helical elements and three loops (D, anti-codon, and T loops). Lineage: Bacteria; Pseudomonadati; Pseudomonadota; Alphaproteobacteria. RNAcentral also lists the same sequence under 4 other names. The record is from RNAcentral.